UUGACCUCGGAUCAGGUAGGGAUACCCGCUGAACUUAAGCAUAUCAAUAAGCGGAGGAAAAGAAACCAACAGGGAUUGCCUCAGUAACGGCGAGUGAAGCGGCAACAGCUCAAAUUUGAAAU
RNAcentral lists this ribosomal RNA (122 nucleotides) under Ciliciopodium brevipes. RNAcentral describes it as "partial 28S ribosomal RNA". It matches the Rfam family "Eukaryotic large subunit ribosomal RNA", at positions 1 to 121 of the family's 3401-position model. The record is from RNAcentral. Lineage: Eukaryota; Fungi; Ascomycota; Sordariomycetes; Hypocreales.